This 119-nucleotide ribosomal RNA is filed under the name Pteropus alecto (black flying fox). Lineage: Eukaryota; Metazoa; Chordata; Mammalia; Chiroptera; Pteropodidae. The record is from RNAcentral.
GUCUAUGGCCAUGCUACCCUGAACAAGCCCGAUCCCGUCUGAUCUCGGAAGCUAAGCAGGGUUGAGCCUAGUUAGUACUUGGAUGGGAGACUACCUAGGAAGACCAGGUGCUGUAGGUG